RNAcentral lists this unclassified non-coding RNA (4209 nucleotides) under Octopus sinensis (East Asian common octopus). Its description in RNAcentral is "liprin-alpha-1, transcript variant X9". Lineage: Eukaryota; Metazoa; Mollusca; Cephalopoda; Octopoda; Octopodidae. The record is from RNAcentral.
AUGCAUUGUGGGAAUGACACAGUUUAUGAGGGAGGAAAAUGGCUUCCGAAAGGGUUUCUGUGUGAGGGAUAACUGUUACUGCCCUCUCUGGGAAGGACACCGGAGCCCCUCAGUAUGAUUCUCAACGAUUCUUGUCACAUAAACUUGAGAUGAGAGAGAUGUACAUUUUCAUGACAUAUCUAAACGGAAAGAUUAGGAUUUUAUGUUGCAGAAAAUAUGGAUAAACGUAGGCGGAUCUCUGUGGAGUGUGUGUUUUACCUAGAAUUAUAACAACAGUUUGUGUAUGAUCUUUCCCUGUGGUGGUGGUUAGUAGGAAUUUUUACUUUUUAAAAGAGAGAAGAUAUUUAAAAAAGGAUUAGAAAACCAAAAGAGCCAUUUCAUUCGGAUAUUUUCCCCUUAAAUUUAUCGUGUGUAGAGUUCUUCAUAAUAUAAAGCAUUCAAAAUGAUGUGUGACGUGAUGCCAACGAUUUCGGAAGAUGGGUCGAAUGACCGGGAAGCUCAGGGUGCUCAAGAUGAUGCUAAUUUCGAACAGCUUAUGGUUAACAUGUUGGACGAGCGCGACAAGUUGAUGGAAACCUUACGUGAGACCCAAGAAGCUUACAGUCUAGGCCAAGCAAAACUAGGUGAAGUUGAAAGAGAAAGGGACGCAUUUCAAAAACAGUUGCAAGCCACCACCCCUCAGGAAUUUGCUACUAUAACUAAAGAAUUGAGUGCUGCUCGAGAACAGCUAUUAGAAAGGGAGGAAGAAAUAUCAGAAUUGAAAGCAGAACGAAAUAACACUAGAUUACUGCUGGAGCACCUGGAGUGCCUUGUUGCUCGACACGAACGUUCACUCAGAAUGACGGUUGUGAAACGGCAGGCUUCGUCCCCAGGUGGAGUUUCUAGUGAGGUGGAAGUUCUUAAGGCACUAAAGUCCCUUUUUGAACAUCAUAAAGCACUUGAUGAGAAGGUCCGGGAACGACUACGGGUAUCUUUGGAACGAGUUGCAGUAUUAGAAGAAGAAUUAUCUAAUGCUAAUCAAGAACUGUUCACACUGCGGGAGCAGCAAGCAAAGUCCAGGCAUUCAAGUGGGAGCACUGAAGAUGGUAAACUCCUUAAGGGAACCUCCUCGGAGGGUACACAAGAUGGUGAUAAUAAAGAUCUUCAUCCUAAGAGGCUAUCAAAUGGAUCAAUAGACCCAGAUUCUGAUGUUAACCGUGUGAUAGAGCUUCAGGAAACAGUAGAAAAACAGAACUCAGAAUUAACUUCUACUAGGACAAACAUUUUAGAAUUAACAAACAAAUGUACAGAAUUGGAAGAAUCUCUAACGUCUACUCAGAAAGAUUUAAUAAAGUCUCAAGAACAAUUAGUUAAACUUCAAAGAGAUCUUCGAGAGUCUGUUGCACAAAAAGAAGAUCAAGAAGAAAGAAUAGCAACUUUAGAAAAACGGUAUAUUAAUGCUCAGAGGGAGUCCACGUCUUUACAUGACUUGAAUGAUAAAUUAGAAAAUGAACUCGCCUCAAAAGAAUCGCAGUUAAAGGCUAGUGAAGAAAAAAUAAGAGUUAUUCAAGAAAAAUUAGAGUUGUCAGAACAGAAACUGCAGCAAUCGUUACGUAAGGCAGAAGCUCUACCAACAGUAGAGGCUGAACUCGCACAGCGAAUGGAAGCUCUUAAUCAGAAUGCUAGAGGAUCUCAGGCCGAGCAGCAACAUGGAAAUGCCCAAGAAAAAUUAUUAUCACUGGAACAAAGUCUCACUGACCAAACUAAUGAAUUACAAAGAGCACGUCAGAGAGAGAAAAUGAAUGAGGACCACAAUGCACGUCUUUCUGCCACAGUUGAUAAACUGCUGACGGAAUCAAGUGAGCGUUUGCAGCUCCAUCUUAAAGAACGAAUGCAAGCUCUAGAAGAAAAGAAUCAACUAACACAGGAGUUAGAACGUACCAGAAAGUUGCUUGAUGAAACUCAAAGUGAAAAGGAAAGAACUUACGAUGAUUUAUCUAGAGCAAAGAAAGAGCUAGAAGUCAUGAGAGUUCAACUUGAUCAACUCUCAAGGGCAGCCAUUGGCAGUCAAUAUCCUCCUAUGCCCCCAAAUGUUGUAAUUCAGGGAACCGGGGAGGACACUGUCUCUCGGAGGCAACAGCGUGGAAGGGAGCAGGCCCUUGUAGAGGAUCCCACUAAGGUGAACACACUGAAUGAACAGGAGUGGGAGAAAAUACAACAAGCACAUGUGUUGGCUAAUGUUCAACAAGCUUUUGAUACCAGUGACACUGAAGGGACCGACGACACAGAGUCCAUAUUUGGCGCUGUUGACUUACUUUCACCCUCUGGCCAUACAGAUGCACAAACAUUGGCCUUGAUGAUCCAAGAACAGCUGGAUGCAAUCAAUAAUGAAAUUAGAUUGAUACAAGAGGAGAAAGAAAGUACCGAACAGCGAGCAGAAGAACUGGAAAGCAGGGUAGGGAGUGGAAGUCUUGAUGCAAUAGCCAACAGAUGGCGCUCGGGUUAUGAGCGAUCGUCUCCACCACUUAGCGGGCGAUCAACGCCUACUCCAAGAUCAUAUCAGUCCAGAGAUUAUCUUCAAAAAUAUCAUACAGCACCUGCAGGUAUGUCUGCAGCACAUAUGCACACCUACUCGUCCUCUAGUCCACAGCUAGCUACAGGGACCGACUCCUCUGCAUCACAGCCUGCCGUUCAAUACAGUCGUGACGACAGUGCGAUUCCAGAAGAAGGUCAUCAAAUUAAAUGUGAAUCAAGUCCACCAACUCCUCGUUCAAUACGGUUAGAAAGGGUGGCAGCAGCUUUAGCGCAUAGUGACGAGAGAUAUGGACUGGAUCAGAACACAGUAAUAAGAAUCUCUUCAGAGAUGUCAAAUAAGUUGAGGAGGGCCGUAAUGAUAGACAGUGCGCAUAGCUCCCCAAGUCCUCUAAGCAGUGCCAAUAGCAGCCAAGACUCCUUGCACAAACACCAAAAGAAACGUGGUAUAAAAAGUUCCAUAGGCAGACUUUUCAGUAAAAAAGAAAAACAGAAGACCAAAGAUGCAAUGAUUAGAGGUGAAAAUAUGGCCACUGGUGGCCAAUAUGGAGAUGGUUUGGAAGCAGGUUCAUCAGAUACACUUGCGUUGGGCUUAGGGCAAUCUGAAUUUGAUAGAAGAAAGAAAAAGAAGCAUGAAUUAUUGGAAGAAGCAAUGAAAGCUGGCACGCCAUUUGCAUUGUGGAAUGGUCCGACAGUAGUCGCUUGGCUUGAGUUGUGGGUUGGAAUGCCCGCAUGGUAUGUAGCUGCAUGUCGAGCUAAUGUUAAAAGCGGCGCCAUUAUGUCAGCUUUGUCGGAUCAAGAAAUCCAAAGAGAAAUUGGUAUCAGCAACCCUCUCCAUCGCCUUAAGUUACGUCUAGCCAUCCAGGAGAUGGUUAGCCUUACAAGCCCAUCAGCACCAAAGCCAUCACAAACGCCUUUGGCAUUUGGUGAUAUGAACCAUGAAUGGAUAGGCAAUGAAUGGUUGCCAAGUCUGGGUCUGCCACAGUACAGGAGCACGUUUAUGGAAUGCCUAGUGGAUGCACGGAUGCUAGAUCAUUUGACGAAAAAAGAUUUACGUGGUCAGCUAAAAAUGGUAGAUAGCUUCCACAGAACAAGCUUACAAUAUGGAAUAAAUAGUUUGAAAAAAAUAAAUUAUGAUAGAAAAGAAUUAGAAAGACGCCGAGAAGAGAGUUCGUCUGAAAUGAAAGAUGUACUUGUCUGGACAAAUGAACGAGUCAUUAAAUGGGUUCAGUCCAUUGGGUUGAAGGAAUUCGCAAAUAACUUAUUUGAAUCUGGAGUCCAUGGAGCUCUGGUAGCGCUGGAUGAAAGUUUUGACCAUAACAGUAUGGCAUUAGCUCUACAAAUCCCCACUCAAAAUACACAAACCCGACAAUUAUUAGAACGUGAAUUUAAUAAUAUGCUUGCUUUAGGGACUGAGCGCCGCUUGGAUGAGGUGCACAGCAGGCUACCGCUAAGCGUACAGGGACCACCCUCGUGGGAUGAGCACUUGAUCUGACCUACCAACUACUUCCAGUGACUUUUGAUACAGUGUUAAGUGUGACUCCCUCCUCCCUUCAAUGGGCGAAGGUGGGAAAUUCAGACGUGCUCCAUCUUGGCGUAAAAAAUUCAAAACUAAGGAUACAAAAGGCCGUGAAGGUUCCACAGAAGAAACUGUUGAGUCGGCAACACCAGCAUCAACAAGCACCACUACGACAACAA